RNAcentral lists this ribosomal RNA (440 nucleotides) under uncultured bacterium. RNAcentral's name for it is "partial 16S ribosomal RNA". It matches the Rfam family "Bacterial small subunit ribosomal RNA", at positions 338 to 795 of the family's 1533-position model. The record is from RNAcentral.
CCUACGGGAGGCAGCAGUGGGGAAUAUUGCACAAUGGGGGAAACCCUGAUGCAGCGACGCCGCGUGAGGGAAGAAGCAAUUCGGUAUGUAAACCUCUAUCAGCAGGGAAGAAAAUGACGGUACCUGAGCAAGAAGCUCCUGCCAACUACGUGACAGCAGCCGCGGUAAUACGGAGGGGCCAAGCGUUAUCCGGAUUUACUGGGUGUAAAGGGAGCGUAGGCGGGAGGGCAAGUCAGAGGUGAAAGCCCGGGGCUCAACUGAGGAACUGCUCCGGAAACUGUUCGGCUGGAGUGCAGGAGAGGUAAGUGGAAUUGAUGGUGUAGCGGUGAAAUGCGUAGAUAUUAGGAGGAACACCAGUGGCGAAGGCGGCUUACUGGACUAUAACUGACGUUGAGGCACGAAAGCGUGGGGAGCAAACAGGAUUAGAUACCCGUGUAGUC